Molecule: long non-coding RNA, 1030 nt
Organism: Salvelinus sp. IW2-2015
Lineage: Eukaryota; Metazoa; Chordata; Actinopteri; Salmoniformes; Salmonidae
Source: RefSeq, a predicted model, not a curated record
AAUGCCCAUGAUUUUGGAAUGAGAUGUUCAAUGAGCAGGUGUCCACAUACUUUUGGUCAUGUAGUGUAUAAAUCUCAUGAUUCAAUGAUGAUUUCACUAUCUCACUGUCCUUUAAUCUGUAUUUGUUUUCACCAGAUGAACUCAAAGAAAAACUAAGGAAAGCUGAAGAGACCAUCAAAUCCCUCUCCACCUCACCAGGAGGUCAACAGGAAACACAGACUCCUUCCCAAAAUGAGUCAGAGAUUGAAGAGAUGGAGAUGAAGACUUUACCUGGUUCAGGGAGGAAGUCUGCUCCAGAGAAGAAGCCUUUACUGGCUGCUGGACCACAGAAGGAUGAUCUGGAUGAGCUGGAGAGGGGAGGAGGAGUUACUAUAGACAAUAACUAUAUGCUAUAGGGUUACUAUAGGGAGACUAUAACUAUAGAGCUGAGUUACUAUAGAGACUAUAACUAUCUAUAGAGACCUGUCCCACCUAACAAAGCUGUGUUUCUGAGUAUAUAACUGAGUGAUAUGAAUCUCGGUAAGACAAAGUAAUUUGAUAAAUGUGUUUGUCAUUACUCUAUAUUCCACUUCCAGUAGUUAGUUCUUUACUUUUUGAAGUUUUACUACCCAUGUUUGUAUUAUGGGUUUAUAUCCAUUUCCUGGUUAUUCUAUAUAUGUUUUCCCCAUAAACAAUGUCUUUCUAAUCCCCCUCAGGAAUUGAUAGAGUUGAAUUGAAUUGAAUGUUGGACUAAGGUCUCCUGUUAGAAUCUGUUACAGACUCUCUUAUGUCCAGUACCUGAUAAUCAGGUAUAUCAACAAGACCACAGGACUAAUGUCUCCUGUUAGAAUCUGUUACAGACUCUCUUAUGUCCAGUACCUGAUAAUCAGGUAUAUCAACAAGACCACAGGACUAAGGUCUCCUGUUAGAAUCUGUUACAGACUCUCUUAUGUCCAGUACCUGAUAACCAGGUAUAUCAACAAGACCACAGGAGGUUGGUGGCACCUUAAUUAGGGAGGAGGGGCUCGUGGUAUUGGCUGAAGAGGAAUCA